Peromyscus leucopus (white-footed mouse) is the source of this 789-nucleotide long non-coding RNA. RefSeq lists it as uncharacterized. NCBI's taxonomy places the organism in Eukaryota, Metazoa, Chordata, Mammalia, Rodentia, Cricetidae. The record is from RefSeq and is a predicted model, not a curated record. The transcript is spliced from 3 exons.
UGUCUACUUAGACACAGUUUAGAAACUAGUUUCCAUACCACUAAAAUUGCAGGCUCCUAAAGACUUGAAGAACUAAAUGUUGUUUUACUUAAUAGGGGCACAAUGAGGGACCAUUUUCCACGGGAGAGCCUUUUCAAACCCUCCUGAGGCAUCAUGCUUCAAUGCUGCCCACUCAGAACACUCUGGUGCACCCACUCAACACCACCCGGACCACAGUUUCGAAAUAGUGAGUCGCAUAGCAUGUCUUUGUUAAACCGGAGAACUUGAAGAUAUGGGGGACCCUUUCAUGGCAGUUCCCUACUCUCUCGGCAACUGUUUUCCCACUACGGCAACAAUCAAGCGUGUAAUCGGCUAGAAUUCAAUUCAGUUUAGAAUUAAUCUCCAGUCUGUGUCUGAGCAUGUCUUCUGCAAAACAAUGCUGAGGAUUAUAAUGCCAAAGACGGAUCGAAGCAAUCCAGAGCAACCAAGAGCAAGGAGACGGUAAGAGAGGACAGCCAAAACAAAGGCUGGCUCGCAAAGGUCUUAUGAAGGAAGCUUGAUUGACAGUGUGGUGGUUUGAGAUGCUGUGGACUUCUAAGAGGCAGACAACUGGAUUCUCCGACCUAAUGACAACAGUCCUGACCCUGGCUUCCAGCAGCACCGGCCACACCAGAGAUCAGAAGAGUCAUUUGAUUUGAGCCUGUGGAAAGCCAGAUACGUACUCCUGGGAAACCUUGGCUUGUAACCUAAAGGGAGACGCUCCUUUAUAUGCCUUUAAUGUGUUCAAUUUAAAAUAAUCUGACUUUAAAA